RNAcentral lists this long non-coding RNA (476 nucleotides) under Salvia miltiorrhiza (redroot sage). RNAcentral describes it as "long non-coding RNA (SMIL_LNC001797)". Lineage: Eukaryota; Viridiplantae; Streptophyta; Magnoliopsida; Lamiales; Lamiaceae. The record is from RNAcentral.
UAUUAUUAUUAUUAUUAUUUUAUUACACAAUAAGCAUGUAAAAACUAAAUCAUUUACUUGAGAAGUGUUGCUCUCCUUGUAAAUUUUGAAACAAAAUCACUAAUAACACUUUGAUCAUCAAUUUCACAUGCCACUUAAUGAAGGAAAAGAGCCCCAAAGCAAUAAAAAUAUAAAAUUAUAACUAAACAAAAUCACUAAUAACACUUUGAUCAUCAAUUUCACACAUCACUUAAUGAAGGAAAAUGGCCCCAAAGCAAUAAAAAUGUAAAAUUGUAACUCUCAAGAAUCGAACCUACAUCAACAAGAUUCCACAUAACUUGAAGAGAGCAUCUUUCAACUGAACUAGUUAAUAAAGUUAUUUAUUUUUUAAUUAUUUAAGUAUAUAUAAAUAUAUAGACUUAUAUAUAAUCGGGGGCCCUCAAUUUUUCGGGGCCCUGUGCGGUCGCCCACCCCGCACACCCUCAGAACCGCCACUG